AGUCUUGUAGUAAAGUUUACGCGGGGUUGCAAACCCUGAAACGGAGUGGAAUUCUCCCGGGGCUU
Molecule: transfer RNA, 65 nt
Filed under: Pavoraja nitida (peacock skate)
Lineage: Eukaryota; Metazoa; Chordata; Chondrichthyes; Rajiformes; Arhynchobatidae
Description: tRNA-Cys
Source: RNAcentral